UCUCUCCUGGGUAGAACUCCAACCUCUUCCCUGCUUCCUGUUCUAAGUUAACGACAAGAAGGGGCCUGCUGGGUUCUAUUCUUCACUUGACUGAAUCCCGGGAAGUUCCAUCCAAUUUCAAGAAUAUCCCUGGGAGGGAGCCCAACAGACAGAGGGUCAAUGAGCCUCAGACCAGGACUAUCACUGGAGGGAAGGUGGGUGCUGCUUUCCGGCUAUCUCUGACGGGAGAAUAACCAAGAAACUGAGGUCCUGCAAGACAUGGGGACCUGGGGCAGCAUGUCCUCCUCCUCCAGGUGGUUCCGGGGCUCAGUGUUGGGGUGAGGCCUGACGUGAAGGAGGCUGGGGUUGUGGCCUGCAGUGUGAGCCUUUGGGCAAAGAGCUUUGGGGGUUUAGGUUGUGUGUUCUUUCCUUUGAGCACCAUGGAGGCUUUUUCAGGAACUUGCAGUUAGUGGUGUGGAGAGAAGAUGAAAUGGAGGACACUUCAGAGGUGAUCUGUGAUCUAUUUAAUAUAGACUCCAGGUGCGAGAAAGAAAGCUCAGCAGGAGGAGUGAGGAGGCCUCAUGACCAGACAGAGGAUUGGCUGACUUCAGGAGGAGGAGGCAGGGGACUCCUGUGUUGGGAGUUGAGAGUGGGGUUUAGUCGGGGUUGGCAAUGGUGCCCAUGGGGAGAUAUUACCUCAGUCUACAGAAAGGACGUACUGGAGGGCACAGUGGGACUCAGUGGGAGAUGAGUCUGGAUGGGUAAUUGUGGCUGGAUUACGCAUAAAGGAGUACAUUUUUCUUCAAUUUAAAAAGUGCGUUUUUUUUUUUAUUAGUAGAGGUACCUGAAAAUAAAAGAGAAUACAUUCCCUAAUAAGGAAAAUGUCCAAGCCACAUGCAUGUCAUGUUUUUAGGGGCACUGACACAUCGAUUCUCUGAAUUCCAUGCCUUCCUGUCUACCUUCAUUGUCGCUUCCCAAGUCCAGGCUGCUAUAACUCUUGUUUGUACUACGACAAUAACCUCCUACUGGUAUCCUUGCCUCAAUCUUUCUGUCCCCCAUGGUUUUGCCAGAAUGGGCUUUUGAAAAAGCGUAUCAAGUCAUGCCAGCUUUCACUUUAAAAAUCUUUGUCAGCCCAUUACCUGCAGGAUGAAUUCUAAACUCCUUAGGAUGGCACUAGUUUUAAAAAACUAGCCCCGUUUUAGAGAAUUCUGAGAAAACGAGGCAGUUUUGGCAUUGAUUUAGAAUUUUUCUGAACCCCCACUUAAAGACAGGUAGCUAGAUAGCAAAACCCAAACUCAUGAACAAUAUUUACAACAAACUAGGUGACAAGUAUCCUCACAAACCCCAGAAUACAGGGGGAUGAGGGCAAGUCACCUACGACACAGGGGGUGUCAUUCCUGUUUAAGGGAGAGAGCGGAGACAAGCCAUGGGAAGCUUUGCAAACUCACGAGCAGGAAAGCCUCUAAAUACACAACAGGUAUUCGCUGGAGGGCACUGCAGACCAAUCUGAGGACAGCAGCCAAAAACGAGCAGGUUUUUCUCACUCCAUCAGUGGGUGGGUACCAGGCACCUGCGGUAAGUCUGAAGGGGCGGCUGGAGCAGUUGAGCCCCUGGAACUGUUGACAUGAAACGGUCAGGGCUCCUGUCCAGGGAGGAGAAAGUGCUGGGAGUGGAAUAAAAAUUGAGCAGGACAGGGGAUGGCAACUGGACUUCUGGUGGUGAACACGAUGUAGUGUACAUGGAAGUCAGUUUAUAAUGAUGUACACCUGAAAUCUAUAUAACGUUAUAAACCAAUGUUUUGUUGUUAGUGCCGACAGUCAAUUCUGACUCCUGGCGACCCUACAACAGAGCAGAGACCUACCUGGUCUUUUUGCGCCAUCCUCUCACCUUUUGGUGCUGUAUCAACGCUCUGCUGUUAUUCGUACGGUUCGCAUGGCCAAUUUUUUCAGAAGUGGGUGACCAGGUCCUCCUUCUUAGUCUGUCUUAGUCUAGAAGCUCCACUGAAACCCGUCCACUAUGGAUGACCCUGCUGAUAUUUGAAAUACCAGUGGCAGAGCUUUCAGCAUCACAGUAACACUCAGCCGCCACCGUUUGACAACUGACAGAUGGGUGGUGUGGUUCCCUGACCAGGAAUCGAACCCAGGCCACCGUGGUGGUGAGAGUGCCAAAUCUUAAGCACUAGACCACCAGGGCUGGCUAAACCAAUGUUACCUCAAUUAAAAAAAAAUCUUUAACUUUCAAAAUAAGCAUAAUUUUAUACUCGUGGCAGCUCUGUGUCUGUGUCAGUAAGAGAAAAAGUCUACAUGAUGCCUUUUUAACAUGGAAGUACAUCACGCUUCAAGAAAAAAAAAAUAACAUUUCUGAAUUCCAGACACAUCUGAUCUAAUUUUCUUUUCAAGUCACGUACUGUUUUUGCCUAGCUGAUCAGUUGCUGGCCUACACUACAGUGACAUCUACUGGCACAGCUGGGACUGCGCACCCACAGGUAAACUUCAAAAAGACAGAGCGGACUUUAGGCUUUCCUCUAUGAUGACUGGCCGACAACACGAGUUAUAGCAGCCACAGGAUUUCUUAAGAACAGAUCAGGUGCUUUUGGCCUAAGAUCGUGCUUGUCACAUUAAAGAUGCUCCAAAAAUGUGUUGGAUGAUCAUGAACAUAACUGCCUACAGUCUAACCUUUUAAAAAGCAUGGAAUCUGAAAAAUACUCUGAGAGUGAUUUAAAUUAAAAAAAAAAGCUCUAAAGCAGAAAAAAGACUACUGAGCAGGAUAGGGACAAAUAGACAAAAGAUAGGGGAGAAAAAGUGACGGCAGGGGAGGGGACAGAAUCAGGAAACCUCACAAAGUUAGCCACCGUAUAUAUUUUUUAACACUAUGAAAACAACAGAAGGGGGAGCUCUGUGAAGUUAGAAAAGCUACUCUGAGCCAUGUUCCUUCUAAAAGUCGAGGAAUACUAAUUUCACGUAAAAUUGAGCAACAGGAAAGUAUUGAGGUCAAAGAAAUGUUUUAUAAAAAAGUGAAAAAAAAAAAAGAAUAACAUCCCUACAGACAAGGAAAAUACACCAAGAAAACAGACCCACAGGACAGGUCAAUCUUGUAAUCUUUUAUUUCAAAAUGAGCUGAAAGGCAUUAAGAAAAUGAUGCAAGACAUAAAAGAACCACAUAAAUCAGAAUUAUGAACUCAGAAAUGAGGUGACCAAACUCAGGAAAGGAUGAGAAAUGAAAGAAAAAGAAACCCACUUCAGAAUGAACUUAACUAGAAGGAAUAGGAGUGAAUUAACAAAACAGACAAUGCCUCAGGAAAAUGGCAGCAAAAAGUAUGAAAAAUCUAAAAAUAAAAAGGAAAUCAAGAAAGAGAUACGAUUCAAGGAGAAGUGACAGAUCUCGAAGAGGCAAAGGAGAUCCACAUACACAUAACAGAAGUCCCUGAAGAAGAAACCAGAGGGAGUAGAGCAAACAGAAACCCAUACUUCAAGAAAACUUCCCGAAAUCAGAAAGAUUUGAAGCUACUUGAGAUUAUCAACCCAGAGUGACUAACACCAAGACAACUCGUGGGAAAGUUGUUGGACUUCAAAGUGAGAUAAAAAGCCUUUGGGUGUGUAGGCACAAACAGAAAGUGACUUAAAAGGCAAAGAGAAUUAGAUUAUCAUCGACUCUGACAGCAAUGCUUUGUGCAAGAAAAUGAAGUGGUUUGCCCAGGGCUCGCUCAUUCCAGCGCUGAGCACUGAAGGAGGAGUGCUCAUUUGUACAUGAAAAAGAAACACGUCAUGCUUUUUCAUCUCCCCAGAAAUCCACUCCGCCCCCAUCCUGCCUGUUUCUAUUGCUCCUGUAGUCCUUCUGACCUGUGAGGACAGAGUCCCCCAGCCAUCUCUUUUCCAGACCAAAUCCUCCUCAUUCCUGAUUCCUCAUUUAUUCAUUCAACAAGUGAUUUCUGAGCACCUGCUAUGAGCCAGCCCUGUGCUGAGCUCUGGGGCCAAAAGGACAAAGAAGCCCCAGUCGUCCAUCUCAUGGAGUCCUCUGUGGGGAAGACCUGGAUGAGAUGCGCCAUGUCCAUUCUGGAGGCUGGUAUCCCAGUGUUCAAGGGGCAGACUGCAGGCCAAAGGGGCAGGGUUGGAGUGACUCUGCAGCUCCCCAGGCCACUGUAAGCCUCUGCUUCCUUAUCUGUGAAAUGGGCCAACAACUGAGCCUUUCUCACGCGGACCAGGACCAUGUGUCUACUCAGGCCUGCUCUUGGCCAUCCAAGGGGCCUGCUGUUGGGGUGGGAGCCCACUGAGGAAAGAGACAGUCCCUCCCCGAACCCCCAUGGCACUAAGGACCGUGCCUGGGGGGCAUCUGGAAGGCACCAUGGAGGAAGCCUCUGGGUUGUGUUGUUGGGGUUCCCCAGGAUUCUACUGAGGACACAGGCAUCAAAGAAGGCCCAAAGCAAAACCAUAGAGAUUUACAGAAAUUCUCUGUGAGCAGGAGAUGAGUAAAGAGCUCGUAGCCUCACGAAGAAUGCAAACUGGGGAAGAAAUGAAGUGUCGCGACAUGUCUUCUGGGAAAAGAAGGUGGUCAGGAUGGGCAGUGGGAGCCUCACCUGUUAGUAGGGGGUCAGAGGGCAACAUCAGGGACAGUAGGGGAGGGAGUGAGUAAAGAGGUCGGGGCCUGAGGGGCCCCCUUAGGUGCCAGGUGCCUAUGCACACGUCCCAACCCCAGAACCUCCAGCAGCCCUGUGGGCAGAGAACUCUCACCUCCACCAUUUACAGCCGAGGAGUCUGAGGCCC
Molecule: long non-coding RNA, 4739 nt
Organism: Equus caballus (horse)
Lineage: Eukaryota; Metazoa; Chordata; Mammalia; Perissodactyla; Equidae
Source: Ensembl